GACGAACGCUGGCGGCGUGCCUAAUACAUGCAAGUUGAGCGCUGAAGGUUGGUACUUGUACCAACUGGAUGAGCAGCGAACGGGUGAGUAACGCGUGGGGAAUCUGCCUUUGAGCGGGGGACAACAUUUGGAAACGAAUGCUAAUACCGCAUAAAAACUUUAAACACAAGUUUUAAGUUUGAAAGAUGCAAUUGCAUCACUCAAAGAUGAUCCCGCGUGGUAUUAGCUAGUUGGUGAGGUAAAGGCUCACCAAGGCGAUGAUACAUAGCCGACCUGAGAGGGUGAUCGGCCACAUUGGGACUGAGACACGGCCCAAACUCCUACGGGAGGCAGCAGUAGGGAAUCUUCGGCAAUGGACGAAAGUCUGACCGAGCAACGCCGCGUGAGUGAAGAAGGUUUUCGGAUCGUAAAACUCUGUUGGUAGAGAAGAACGUUGGUGAGAGUGGAAAGCUCAUCAAGUGACGGUAACUACCCAGAAAGGGACGGCUAACUACGUG
This 497-nucleotide ribosomal RNA is filed under the name uncultured bacterium. Its description in RNAcentral is "partial 16S ribosomal RNA". It matches the Rfam family "Bacterial small subunit ribosomal RNA", at positions 28 to 507 of the family's 1533-position model. The record is from RNAcentral.